Molecule: ribosomal RNA, 254 nt
Filed under: uncultured bacterium
Lineage: Bacteria
Description: partial 16S ribosomal RNA
Rfam family: Bacterial small subunit ribosomal RNA
Source: RNAcentral
GACAGAGGAUGCAAGCGUUAUCCGGAUUUACUGGGCGUAAAGAGUUGCGUAGGUGGUAUGUUAAGCAAAUAGUGAAAUCGUGUGGCUCAACCAUACAUCCAUUAUUUGAACUGGCAAACUUGAGAGUGAGAGAGGUUACUGGAAUUCCUUGUGUAGGAGUGAGAUCCGUAGAUAUAAGGAGGAACACCGAUGGCGUAGGCAGGUAACUGGCUCAUUUCUGACACUAAGGCACGAAAGCGUGGGGAGCGACCGGG